UGAAGCCAGUGCAAGUGACGUGGAAAGGAUGGAAUCAGCAAGCGAUGCGGGUGAAUGUUUCAGCCUACAACAAUCCAUGUCAUCAGCGGGUCCGGAAAAUGUGCUAGUGCUGGAUGGACUGCCCCUUGAACCAUUUGUGC
Molecule: long non-coding RNA, 140 nt
Organism: Ornithodoros turicata
Lineage: Eukaryota; Metazoa; Arthropoda; Arachnida; Ixodida; Argasidae
Exons: 3
Source: RefSeq, a predicted model, not a curated record